GAUGAACGCUGGCGGCGUGCCUAAUACAUGCAAGUCGAGCGAACGGACGAGAAGCUUGCUUCUCUGAUGUUAGCGGCGGACGGGUGAGUAACACGUGGAUAACCUACCUAUAAGACUGGGAUAACUUCGGGAAACCGGAGCUAAUACCGGAUAAUAUUUUGAACCGCAUGGUUCAAAAGUGAAAGACGGUCUUGCUGUCACUUAUAGAUGGAUCCGCGCUGCAUUAGCUAGUUGGUAAGGUAACGGCUUACCAAGGCAACGAUGCAUAGCCGACCUGAGAGGGUGAUCGGCCACACUGGAACUGAGACACGGUCCAGACUCCUACGGGAGGCAGCAGUAGGGAAUCUUCCGCAAUGGGCGAAAGCCUGACGGAGCAACGCCGCGUGAGUGAUGAAGGUCUUCGGAUCGUAAAACUCUGUUAUUAGGGAAGAACAUAUGUGUAAGUAACUGUGCACAUCUUGACAGUACCUAAUCAGAAAGCCACGGCUAACUACGUGCCAGCAGCCGCGGUAAUACGUAGGUGGCAAGCGUUAUCCGGAAUUAUUGGGCGUAAAGCGCGCGUAGCGGUUUUUUAAGUCUGAUGUGAAAGCCCACGGCUCAACCGUGGAGGGUCAUUGGAAACUGGAAAACUUGAGUGCAGAAGAGGAAAGUGGAAUUCCAUGUGUAGCGGUGAAAUGCGCAGAGAUAUGGAGGAACACCAGUGGCGAAGGCGACUUUCUGGUCUGUAACUGGCGCUGAUGUGCGAAAGCGUGGGGAUCAAACAGGAUUAGAUACCCUGGUAGUCCACGCCGUAAACGAUGAGUGCUAAGUGUUAGGGGGUUUCCGCCCCUUAGUGCUGCAGCUAACGCAUUAAGCACUCCGCCUGGGGAGUACGACCGCAAGGUUGAAACUCAAAGGAAUUGACGGGGACCCGCACAAGCGGUGGAGCAUGUGGUUUAAUUCGAAGCAACGCGAAGAACCUUACCAAAUCUUGACAUCCUUUGACAACUCUAGAGAUAGAGCCUUCCCCUUCGGGGGACAAAGUGACAGGUGGUGCAUGGUUGUCGUCAGCUCGUGUCGUGAGAUGUUGGGUUAAGUCCCGCAACGAGCGCAACCCUUAAGCUUAGUUGCCAUCAUUAAGUUGGGCACUCUAAGUUGACUGCCGGUGACAAACCGGAGGAAGGUGGGGAUGACGUCAAAUCAUCAUGCCCCUUAUGAUUUGGGCUACACACGUGCUACAAUGGACAAUACAAAGGGCAGCGAAACCGCGAGGUCAAGCAAAUCCCAUAAAGUUGUUCUCAGUUCGGAUUGUAGUCUGCAACUCGACUACAUGAAGCUGGAAUCGCUAGUAAUCGUAGAUCAGCAUGCUACGGUGAAUACGUUCCCGGGUCU
RNAcentral lists this ribosomal RNA (1371 nucleotides) under uncultured bacterium. RNAcentral describes it as "bacterial SSU rRNA". It matches the Rfam family "Bacterial small subunit ribosomal RNA", at positions 28 to 1381 of the family's 1533-position model. The record is from RNAcentral.